RNAcentral lists this ribosomal RNA (465 nucleotides) under uncultured bacterium. RNAcentral's name for it is "partial 16S ribosomal RNA". It matches the Rfam family "Bacterial small subunit ribosomal RNA", at positions 338 to 795 of the family's 1533-position model. The record is from RNAcentral.
CCUACGGGAGGCAGCAGUAGGGAAUUUUCGUCAAUGGGCGCAAGCCUGAACGAGCGAUGCCGCGUGAGUGAAGAAGGCCUUCGGGUCGUAAAGCUCUGUUGCGGGGGAAAAAAGGCAGCAUCAGGAAAUGGGUGCUGACUGAUGGUGCCCCGCCAGAAAGUCACGGCUAACUACGUGCCAGCAGCCGCGGGAAUACGUAGGUGGCGAGCGUUAUCCGGAAGGAUUGGGCGUAAAGGGUGAGCAGGCGGUCCUGCAAGUCUGGAGUGAAACGCAUGAGCUCAACUCAUGCAUGGCUUUGGAAACUGGAGGACUGGAGAGCAGGAGAGGGCGGUGGAACGCAAUGUGUAGCGGUAAAAUGCGUAGAUAUAUGGAAGAACACCAGUGGCGAAGGCGGCCGCCUGGCCUGUUGCUGACGCUGAGGCACGAAAGCGUGGGGAGCAAAUAGGAUUAGAUACCCUUGUAGUC